ACAUACGACCAUAGCCGUUAGCAAAGUUCAGGGCCUCGUCCGAUCCCCCACGACAACCUAACGAGCGCCGGAUUAGUAGUUGGGUCGGUGACGACCAGCGAAUACCCGGUGUUGUAUGUU
This is a ribosomal RNA of Metarhizium acridum CQMa 102, 120 nucleotides long. The record is from Rfam. NCBI's taxonomy places the organism in Eukaryota, Fungi, Ascomycota, Sordariomycetes, Hypocreales, Clavicipitaceae.